This 143-nucleotide small RNA is filed under the name Flavobacterium glaciei. RNAcentral's name for it is "Flavo-1 RNA". Lineage: Bacteria; Pseudomonadati; Bacteroidota; Flavobacteriia; Flavobacteriales; Flavobacteriaceae. The record is from RNAcentral.
UUUUAGCCCAGAUGGUAAUGAAAAUGCCUCAGUAAAAAAGCUAAUUUUUCUUGUCAAAAAAGAGCGACUAAAGGAAGCUCCUUUUUUGGGCUUAGAAAAAUAGAUUUUUUGACGAGGACUUGUAAUGUACAGCUGGAAUUGCU